RNAcentral lists this ribosomal RNA (450 nucleotides) under uncultured bacterium. RNAcentral describes it as "bacterial SSU rRNA". It matches the Rfam family "Bacterial small subunit ribosomal RNA", at positions 26 to 518 of the family's 1533-position model. The record is from RNAcentral.
CUAGAACGAACGCUGGCGGCAGGCCUAAAACAUGCAAGUUGAACGGCCAUAGCAAUAUGGCAGUAGCGCAAGGGUGAGUAAUGUAUGGGAACGUAUCUUUUGGUGGGGAAUAUUCUUUGGAAACGAAGAGCAAUACCGCAUAAGCCCUACGGGGGAAAGAUUUAUCGCCGAUUGAGCGGCCCAUAUUGGAUUAGCUGGUUGGUUAGGUAACGGCUGACCAAGGCUGUGAUCCAUAGCUGGUCUGAGAGGACGAUCAGCCACACUGGGACUGAGACACGGCCCAGACUCCUACGGGAGGCAGCAGUUAGGAAUAUUGGACAAUGGGGGCAACCCUGAUCCAAGCCAUGCCGCGUGAGUGUUAAGGCCUUCGGGUUGUAAAGCUCUUUUGUAUGGGAAAAUGAUGAUGGUACCAUAAGAAUAAGCACCGGCUAACUUCGUGCCAGCAGCCGC